This 484-nucleotide ribosomal RNA is filed under the name uncultured bacterium. Its description in RNAcentral is "partial 16S ribosomal RNA". It matches the Rfam family "Bacterial small subunit ribosomal RNA", at positions 30 to 507 of the family's 1533-position model. The record is from RNAcentral.
AUUGAACGCUGGCGGCAGGCCUAACACAUGCAAGUCGAGCGGAUGAAGGGAGCUUGCUCCUGGAUUCAGCGGCGGACGGGUGAGUAAUGCCUAGGAAUCUGCCUGGUAGUGGGGGAUAACGUCCGGACACGGGCGCUAAUACCGCAUACGUCCUGAGGGAGAAAGGGGGGGAUCUUCGGACCUCACGCUAUCAGAUGAGCCUAGGUCGGAUUAGCUAGUUGGUGGGGUAAAGGCCUACCAAGGCGACGAUCCGUAACUGGUCUGAGAGGGUGAUCAGUCACACUGGAACUGAGACACGGUCCAGACUCCUACGGGAGGCAGCAGUGGGGAAUAUUGGACAAUGGGCGAAAGCCUGAUCCAGCCAUGCCGCGUGUGUGAAGAAGGUCUUCGGAUUGUAAAGCACUUUAAGUUGGGAGGAAGGGCAGUAAGUUAAUACCUUGCUGUUUUGACGUUACCAACAGAAUAAGCACCGGCUAACUUCGUG